UUGAUGUUGGUUUUGUCCUUCUUUGUUUGUAGUGUCUUUCUUGUGGAUCUUAGAAUUAGCAAGCAACAGCGGACCAUCUUCAUCAGGGAUUGAAGGUCAUCAUCGAAGGCUUCCUACAGAAAUGCCCUGGAGCUGAGUAAAGAAAGUCAUGCAGGUUUGGAUCAACAUGAGGCAAGAUGCAAAUGCAAGAAAAUGAUUUUCUGCAGUGAGAUGAGAAGAGCAAAAGGGCGAGAAAUAGAGGAUGAAAAGAAAAGAAAUGGGUUCCCAGCGCUACAAACACCACUGCUGUGACAGAGUCUUUGAGUCCGAUGGUGCAGCCGAAGUGGGAUGCCAGGUCUCCGAUGAAAGCCGUCAGAACGCCAAUCAUAAUGAUUGACACCACGAAACACGCCCACCCGUU
Long non-coding RNA from Onychostoma macrolepis, 400 nucleotides. RefSeq lists it as uncharacterized. The transcript has 4 exons. NCBI's taxonomy places the organism in Eukaryota, Metazoa, Chordata, Actinopteri, Cypriniformes, Cyprinidae. The record is from RefSeq and is a predicted model, not a curated record.